UACGAAGGGGGGCUAGCGUUGCUCGGAAUGACUGGGCGUAAAGGGCGCGUAGGCGGCUUGCACCGUCAGAUGUGAAAUUCCUGGGCUUAACCUGGGGGCUGCAUUUGAUACGUGUGGGCUUGAGUGCGGAAGAGGGUCGUGGAAUUCCCAGUGUAGAGGUGAAAUUCGUAGAUAUUGGGAAGAACACCAGUGGCGAAGGCGGCUCACUGGCCCGGUACUGACGCUGAGGUGCGAAAGCGUGGGGAGCAAACAGG
RNAcentral lists this ribosomal RNA (254 nucleotides) under uncultured bacterium. RNAcentral describes it as "partial 16S ribosomal RNA". It matches the Rfam family "Bacterial small subunit ribosomal RNA", at positions 524 to 776 of the family's 1533-position model. The record is from RNAcentral.